This 269-nucleotide unclassified non-coding RNA is filed under the name uncultured fungus. RNAcentral describes it as "sequence contains ITS1". Lineage: Eukaryota; Fungi. The record is from RNAcentral.
GUAUUAAUUUUAAAGGCUUUUUAACGGCCCAUUAAUAACAUUCACAGACAUACAUUAGGGGUAUAUGAAGACGUAGACUAGGAAUUACAAGGAAAGCUAAUGCAAUUCCUCAAACCAAAGCUAAUGAAAGCCUUGAGGAUCAUUCCAAGUCUACAAUAUGUGCACAGGUGGUUUAAAUGAGAGCAAGCGUGCACAUGCCCCAAAGGGCCAGCAACAACUCACUUCAGUUUAAUUCAAUAAUGAUCCUUCCGCAGGUUCACCUACGGAAA